GGUGGUUCUUGGGUGACGCACCCCGGAAUAAGGCUGCUUUCUCUCUGGUUCUGGGUGUGUCACCUGAGAACCACA
This is a non-coding RNA of Myotis brandtii (Brandt's bat), 75 nucleotides long. The record is from Rfam. NCBI's taxonomy places the organism in Eukaryota, Metazoa, Chordata, Mammalia, Chiroptera, Vespertilionidae.